Plectosphaerella cucumerina is the source of this 100-nucleotide non-coding RNA. The record is from the annotation of a GenBank genome assembly. NCBI's taxonomy places the organism in Eukaryota, Fungi, Ascomycota, Sordariomycetes, Glomerellales, Plectosphaerellaceae.
GCGCUGGUGGCUCAAUUGGUCAGAGCUUUGUGCUUAUGAAGCAUCGACAAGAUGUUCCAUGCACUCACAAGGGUUGUGAGUUCGAGUCUCACCCGGCGCA